This is a long non-coding RNA of Solanum tuberosum (potato), 1220 nucleotides long. RefSeq lists it as uncharacterized. The transcript is spliced from 5 exons. The record is from RefSeq and is a predicted model, not a curated record. Lineage: Eukaryota; Viridiplantae; Streptophyta; Magnoliopsida; Solanales; Solanaceae.
UCCACUUUCUUUGUCUUCAUUCUUUACACGGUAGAAUCUAGAAUAUGCUCCAAAUCUAUUUUCACUUUGCUCUUUCCCGGAUUCUGAUUAUAGAUUUGAAUCUCUAUUUCGCCCUCAAAUUUGUUUUCACUGCUGUUGUGUUCUUUAGUUGUGGUUCUGAAGCAAAAAUCUUUCUCCAAGUUUGAGGUUGAGAACACCUCAGAAGCUCUGUCAGUAGCUAUGUUGUUGAUAAAUAGCAAGCCCAACAAAGGACUGCGCAAGUUCUUGAAAGCACACUGUGAUGGGGAAACUUUGGUAGUUGCUGAUUCAAAGCUUGGAAAUGCAAUUAAAGAGAAAUUGCAGGUUUUUCAAAAUAUUUUGCUCCAUCAGUCAACAACUCAAAAUGAACAUAUGUAAUUUUCUUUUGGUUGCUUGGCUCUUCCUAUCAAGGGUGAUUGCUUAUAGUUCUAGCUGAAGGAUAUGACAGAGAUGACCUACCUCUUAAAGUUUUAAUUUUUUUAAUUAGAAACAAUACAACCAAAAGUAAAUGAAGAUGAGGUGAACAAAACUUCCGGUCACCAAUACUCAAUCAAUUAAGGCCCCGGGACUUCUCCCGUUCUCUUGGAGAUGAGUGAAGACACAAGCAGAAGAAAGAGUAGAAGUUUGAUAGGAUUCAUUGGUAAACAAAAAAAACAUGUUUAUCACAAAGAGAAUGUAUCUCAAGAGAUAAAAGUUAUUUGUUAUGAAGAUAUAUCAUGCUGGACUAGAACACUUUAUUCAUUGAGCUCUCAUUACUGUGACAUGUUUCAUGGUAAAUCCCAAUUUUGCUAAUGUGGAAUGAUUUCUAGAUUUUCUUAUUUGUUUAGUUUAAAUGCUAUGAUUGUUUGACGAAUAUUCGGUCUAAUCAGAUUUGACACACUUGCUGCCAGACUAGAUAAGGAGCCUUAAAAAAGAACACUAUAACAGGUGGAUGUAUAAAGAAGUAAUGAAAGAUAUGUUCUCACAUUCUUCAAUUAUUUGAAGGUUAAAUUGACUAUUUGAUCUCAGUUCCUAAGACAUUAAGUGUUGAUUGAUCCUCCUCUCCAAGGAGCUCAAUUUACCUGGUCAAUAGGGGAGGUCUCCUUCCAAUCCUCUAGAAUUGACAGGUUUCUUAUCUCACCUGAAUGGAGUGAAAUGUUCAAUGCUAUCAAACAGUUCCCACUGCCUAGAGUGUUAUCUGACCACAAGCCCAUCGUCUUGGA